Molecule: long non-coding RNA, 753 nt
Organism: Ailuropoda melanoleuca (giant panda)
Lineage: Eukaryota; Metazoa; Chordata; Mammalia; Carnivora; Ursidae
Exons: 3
Source: RefSeq, a predicted model, not a curated record
GUGACUGCAGGGAGACAGAGAAGGACACAGAGACAGGCAUGAGACUCGAGGCGGACCCCACACAGGCUGCGCAAAGUCUGUGUGCCUCCCCACCCUGGCCCCGGCCUUGCAUUUCUUGCAUCAGAACACAAGUAUUCCCAGAAAGCACUUCUGGAGGUUGGGUUCGUAGUACUACUCAGCGCCCAUCAGCACUCACUUCUUGCCCCAUAGCCUUGGGAUGCAUGGGUCUUGGACCAGCCGACCAUACAAAAAUUCCACUCACUGUUCACCCAUGCACUGCAACGAUGUUUUUACCUCGAGCUCUAUGUAGCUAACCCACCAGGAAACACACCGGUGUGUCUAUUUCUCGUGACCAUGAGCUCACAUGAAGUGUGCCUUUCAUUUACUCAAGAUAGACUCAUGCCACACUUGGCAAAAAGGAGAGAAGGUUAAAGUGUUCUAUCACUUGCUAAUUCUCUCGAUGAGUACAUGCCCUGGAGACCCAACGUGGAGCCACACUGCCUGCAGGUCUCUACGUUCUACGCUUCCAGCUGUGCAAGUCCUCGCCACUGUCCACGGUCCAGCCCUUCAGCUUCUUCCUCUAUAGACCUCCUCCACCCUUCCAGAGCCCCGAGCCCCUGUUUUAGAGGUUGCCUGAUUCUGCUCUUCAUAAGCCAUGGCCACCACAGCCAAGAUCAAGUUCACGAGAUAGAAAGAACCCACAAAGAUGACCAAGACGAAGAAGAUCAUGUACGUUUUCCCAGCUGCUCGUAA